AGAAACUCAGCAUGACAGUGGAGGCAUCCAAAUCCAUUUACUGCUAACUGAUUCUGGAAACACUUAUUGGACUGGAUGAAGCAGUUGCCCAACUGCCCAUAUCCUUCAAAAGAUCUAGCCUAGUAAUACUGCGGCCCAAACCUACAUAAUGGAUGACCAAAAUUAGCAUAUUUCGAAGGAAAAAGCAAAAAGAAAGGGGCAGACGAACAGAAGAAAUUUUUGGCCAUUGAUUAUGAUCAGUAAUGCUUACAGAACCUUUGCUAUAAUUUAUUCUCUGCCUGCAGCAUCAUUUCAAAGCUUGGACAUCAUUCAAAAAUAUCUAAUAUGCUUUUCAGGAAUAUGUUUUAUCUUUGACCAAUCUUCACCUCCUUCUGCACCCCUCUCUUCCAAUAACGGACACUCCAUGAUAUACAAUGAACAAAGCGAAGCUGACAACCCUGAAGCUGGUAAGCAUGCUAGUUUUGGGCAAGACUGUAUAAACAAAUUUUCAAGAUUUCGGGGUUCGAGGAGACGCACAGGAAAUGAUUCAAGGUUAGCACAUGCUGAAAGUCUCAAAUUCUUGAGUGAGUUUCCCAGCUUCUCUUCAGGGAAAGAUACAAGUUUAGGACAUUAGGAAAUAUGCAGCUCCUCAAGGAAGGAUAAGUUCUGUAGCCCACUAGGUAGACCCUUCAAAGUACUGCACAUGUCAAUUGAAAGAUGUU
Molecule: unclassified non-coding RNA, 701 nt
Filed under: Hevea brasiliensis (rubber tree)
Lineage: Eukaryota; Viridiplantae; Streptophyta; Magnoliopsida; Malpighiales; Euphorbiaceae
Source: RNAcentral